GACGAACGCUGGCGGCGUGCUUAACACAUGCAAGUCGAACGGAAAGGCCCUGCUUUUGUGGGGUGCUCGAGUGGCGAACGGGUGAGUAACACGUGAGUAACCUGCCCUUGACUUUGGGAUAACUUCAGGAAACUGGGGCUAAUACCGGAUAGGAGCUCCUGCUGCAUGGUGGGGGUUGGAAAGUUUCGGCGGUUGGGGAUGGACUCGCGGCUUAUCAGCUUGUUGGUGGGGUAGUGGCUUACCAAGGCUUUGACGGGUAGCCGGCCUGAGAGGGUGACCGGCCAAAUGGGGACUGGGAUACGGCCCAGACUCCUACGGGAGGCAGCAGUGGGGAAUAUUGAACAAUGGGCGGAAGCCUGAUGCAGCAACGCCGCGUGCGGGAUGACGGCCUUCGGGUUGUAAACCGCUUUCGCCUGUGACGAAGCGUGAGUGACGGUAAUGGGUAAAGAAGCACCGGCUAACUACGU
RNAcentral lists this ribosomal RNA (467 nucleotides) under uncultured bacterium. Its description in RNAcentral is "partial 16S ribosomal RNA". It matches the Rfam family "Bacterial small subunit ribosomal RNA", at positions 28 to 506 of the family's 1533-position model. The record is from RNAcentral.